CAGUCGCCGCGGUAAUACGGAGGGUGCAAGCGUUAAUCGGAAUUACUGGGCGUAAAGCGUGCGUAGGCGGUUCGUUAAGUCUGUUGUGAAAGCCCCGGGCUCAACCUGGGAAUGGCAAUGGAUACUGGCGAGCUAGAGUGUGUCAGAGGAUGGUGGAAUUCCCGGUGUAGCGGUGAAAUGCGUAGAGAUCGGGAGGAACAUCAGUGGCGAAGGCGGCCAUCUGGGACAACACUGACGCUGAGGCACGAAAGCGUGGGGAGCGAACAGGAUUAGAGACCCCCGUAGUCCCUGUCUCUUAUAC
RNAcentral lists this ribosomal RNA (301 nucleotides) under uncultured bacterium. Its description in RNAcentral is "partial 16S ribosomal RNA". It matches the Rfam family "Bacterial small subunit ribosomal RNA", at positions 509 to 807 of the family's 1533-position model. The record is from RNAcentral.